RNAcentral lists this ribosomal RNA (389 nucleotides) under uncultured bacterium. RNAcentral describes it as "bacterial SSU rRNA". It matches the Rfam family "Bacterial small subunit ribosomal RNA", at positions 29 to 408 of the family's 1533-position model. The record is from RNAcentral.
AACGAACGCUGGCGGCGCGCCUAAUACAUGCAAGUCGAGCGAGAAGACGUAGCAAUACGUUUGUAAAGCGGCGAACGGGUGAGGAAUACAUGGGUAACCUACCCUCGAGUGGGGAAUAACUAGCCGAAAGGUUAGCUAAUACCGCGUACGCUCCUUGGACUUCGGUUCAGGGAGGAAAGCGAUACCGUGGGUAUCGCGCUCUUGGGUGGGCUCAUGUCCUAUCAGCUUGUUGGUGAGGUAACGGCUCACCAAGGCUUCGACGGGUAGCUGGUCUGAGAGGACGAUCAGCCACACUGGCACUGCGACACGGGCCAGACUCCUACGGGAGGCAGCAGUAAGGAAUAUUGCGCAAUGGGCGAAAGCCUGACGCAGCGACGCCGCGUGGGGGA